CCUAAUUUGGUAAACGCUGGCAAAUUUCUUUCGUCGUCCAAAGACCAGUCAAACGCGUACGUACAGCAAAUUUCCUUCCUCAAAUAUCGGCGGCUUUCCCCUCUCUCUCUCUCUCUCUCAAGAGUCGCCGUUGAUAAUAAUUUUUUUUUUUUAGUUUUCUUGGUCAUCGGAUCUCUUUACCACCGCUCUGGGAUCGAUCCUCGCCCGCGGGUUUCCGAAUUCAAAGAAGCAAAACCGAGUUAUGGGUGUAGUAGACUUGCCGCCCUCUUCUUAUAAGAGAUCCGCGUCGUUCAGAAGGCAUCGAGACGAGCAGUUUAGCUGGUCUGCUCUCCUCGAGAGGCACGGCGUCCUGCCGAGGAUGCCUGCUCCUUCUGCUUGUCCUCCUGCACCAUCUAUCUCUACUUCGCCAUCACUUUGACGGCCGAUUCAUGUUCAGCAUUGUCAGGUGCAGAGAAGGCGCUUUGUGAGGCAACAUCUUCCUCGCUGCGCAAGGGAAAGCUGCGGUUGCUCUGACCGCGGCUCGAAGGACGUUUUGACGACUCCUAUCCAUACUUGAACCUGGGCUUUUCGUACGCGAGUAAGUAAACGAGCGUCUAACUUGUCAUGUAGGAACUAUUCGGUUUGUUACAUUUUUUUUUCUUUAUUGUUUGUUACAUUUUUGAUGGAACUUGUCAUAUAGUUUUAUUCUCAAGCUUGAUUGAAUGCUGCGUAUUCA
Long non-coding RNA from Asparagus officinalis (garden asparagus), 715 nucleotides. RefSeq lists it as uncharacterized. Lineage: Eukaryota; Viridiplantae; Streptophyta; Magnoliopsida; Asparagales; Asparagaceae. The record is from RefSeq and is a predicted model, not a curated record. The transcript is spliced from 2 exons.